CCUACGGGAGUCAGCAGUGAGGACUAUUGGUCAAUGGACGAGAGUCUGAACCAGCCAAGUAGCGUGAAGGAUGAAUGCCCUAUGGGUUGUAAACUUCUUUUAUAUGGGAAUAAAACGUUCCACGUGUGGGAUUUUGUAUGUCCCAUAUGAAUAAGGAUCGGCUAACUCCGUGCCAGCAGCCGCGGUAAUACGGAGGAUCCGAGCGUUAUCCGGAGUUAUUGGGUUUAAAGGGAGCGUAGGUGGAUUGUUAAGUCAGUUGUGAAAGUUUGCGGCUCAACCGUAAAAUUGCAGUUGAAACUGGCAGUCUUGAGUACAGUAGAGGUAGGCGGAAUUCGUGGUGGAGCGGUGAAAUGCUUAGAUAUCACGAAGAACUCCGAUUGCGAAGGCAGUUCACUGGACUGCAACUGACACUGAGGCUCGAAAGUGUGGGUAUCAAACAGGAUUAGAUACCCCUGUAGUC
RNAcentral lists this ribosomal RNA (460 nucleotides) under uncultured bacterium. Its description in RNAcentral is "partial 16S ribosomal RNA". It matches the Rfam family "Bacterial small subunit ribosomal RNA", at positions 338 to 795 of the family's 1533-position model. The record is from RNAcentral.